RNAcentral lists this ribosomal RNA (467 nucleotides) under uncultured bacterium. Its description in RNAcentral is "partial 16S ribosomal RNA". It matches the Rfam family "Bacterial small subunit ribosomal RNA", at positions 28 to 507 of the family's 1533-position model. The record is from RNAcentral.
GAUGAACGCUGGCGGCGUGCUUAACACAUGCAAGUCGAACGGAAAGGCCAGUGCUUGCACUGGUGCUCGAGUGGCGAACGGGUGAGUAACACGUGGGUGAUCUGCCCUGCACUUUGGGAUAAGCCUGGGAAACUGGGUCUAAUACCAGAUAGGACCAUGCUUUGGAUGGUGUGGUGGAAAGUUUUUUCGGUGUGGGAUGAGCUUGCGGCCUAUCAGCUUGUUGGUGGGGUAAUGGCCUACCAAGGCGUCGACGGGUAGCCGGCCUGAGAGGGUGUACGGCCACAUCGGGACUGAGAUACGGCCCAGACUCCUACGGGAGGCAGCAGUGGGGAAUAUUGCACAAUGGGCGCAAGCCUGAUGCAGCGACGCCGCGUGGGGGAUGACGGCCUUCGGGUUGUAAACUCCUUUCGCAACUGACGAAGCUUUUUGUGACGGUAGGUUGAGAAGAAGCACCGGCUAACUACGUG